This is a long non-coding RNA of Oncorhynchus tshawytscha (Chinook salmon), 1849 nucleotides long. RefSeq lists it as uncharacterized. The transcript has 2 exons. The record is from RefSeq and is a predicted model, not a curated record. Lineage: Eukaryota; Metazoa; Chordata; Actinopteri; Salmoniformes; Salmonidae.
GCACAAUUGGCCCAGCGUCGUCAGGUUAGGGUUUGGUCAGGGUAGACCAUCAUUGUAAAUAAGACUUUGUUCUUAACUGACUUGCCAAGUUAAAUAAAGAUGAAAUAUAUUUAUUUUUUUAUUCACCCACAGAGGAGAUGUGCCUCUCAGCUGGUGACUCUCUUGAUUAGUCUCAACCAAAUAAAUCAAAGGACAGCAGGUCAAAUGUAUUAUCACUAGCUCAAAAACGAAUGAAAUCAUUGAUCACUGAGGAGAAAAGUUAAUUGAUACAGCUUAAAAUUAAAACUGAGUUUUAGGGAGUAAAAACGUGAGUUUUACAGAGUGGCUGCGUUGCCGAAAACAUUGGAUGACUUUUCCAGAAAGUCUAGAAAACCGAACCUUCUGCACAUGUGUGUAAUUAUUUACUUUACAAAUGGUUUUCUACUUUUUAUUUGAUAAACCACACUGCACCAUAGAACUGUAUUUUGAGAACCAUAUCAGCUUGAGAUCUAGCAAGGAAUGUUUGGUACAAAUAUGUUCAGACAAAGUUCUUACUAUGUCCUCUCUGGUGUAUACAGUAGCAACACCACUAGGACCUCCUGGUAUGCCUCGCUGUAACGGCAUUCUUCCUCUUCUGAGGAGGAGGAGUAGCGAGAAGGAUCGGAGGACCAAUGCGCAGAGUGUGCAGCUGAGAAGUCUUUAACCCUAAUUGCCUCAUGGGUGUCAUGCCAAAUCCAGCAUUAAUCCAUGACCACGAAAGCCUUUAAAGUCACACGGUCUGCGUAGUGAGUACACAAAACCACAGGUGAUACAUUAUGGCUCUGGAGAGGAUGAAGAAUGGCCCACACAACCACCCACAAAUAUAACUUACAGUCUAGAAGAGUAAAGAAAUCUUGAAAAAUAGGCAUAAAAAGCCUUAUUAUUUUCAAAUCAAAUCUUAUAUUGGUCACGAACACCGAUUAUUAGCUCCAACAGUGCAGUAGAAUGUCUAGCAAAUACGAUACAGAUAAUCUAUAAAUCUAAACAAGAAAUCAAGAAUUGUCAGAACGAGUCCAAUUAACAAUCCAAUAUAGAUAUAUUAGAGUGAGCAGUGUCAGAAUGCCGAAUAUAAAUAUGUGGUGUUUUUAAACAGAAUAUAAAUUCGGAAAAUAAAAUGGUAUGUACAAUAGUAGGUAUAUUAGAAUGGGCUAUGCCUAAUUAAAUCAAUAAAAAUGUUUUUUAAAUUAUUUUUUUAAAUGUUGUGAAUACAGUAUAUACAUACACAGUGAGUAAACAAUAGUAUAUGAAGUGACCUACGUUCAAAGUCUCUAUAUACAAGGGACAUUUUAUAGACUCUUUCCUCGUACAGGAUGGAUUAUAGUGUCAUAAAAGAUGUUAUUCUGGAAUCCCUUUUGAGGAAAAAAGAUACAGGUAUAUAUGAUUUUCCCAGAGUCUCUUUUCAUGUUGUCACUGAAACUUCAACACCACACUACAUUCAUGCAGAGAUGAGUGAUCUGUGUACAUUCACAAAUGACUGAAUCCUCCCUUUCGAGGCCCCUUUCACGGACUGCCUCAAAAAGAGGAUGACAUAACUAUUUGGAUGAACAGCUGAAUGACCUCAAGUUGUAACUCAGUAACUAUUUUGUUAAAAACUAUAUUGGUGGAGUGAAGUAUUUAUCCACAAAAUACUUGUGAAACAUACUGGUUAGUUCUCUGAUCUUUAUGAAUAGUAUAAAUGUACUAAGAUACCAUGUUAGCUACCAUUAUCUGUAACUCAGAGGAGGUCUGGACUACAAAUAAGGAACUGGGGCUUGUAAAAAAAUAUAUGCUUUCAUUUCCUGGUCGAUUCUGCAAAUUUUGUGUAAAUAAAAACAUAAUUUUUCAAAAAUAA